Molecule: ribosomal RNA, 447 nt
Filed under: Choeras sp. 1 SY-2018
Lineage: Eukaryota; Metazoa; Arthropoda; Insecta; Hymenoptera; Braconidae
Description: partial 16S ribosomal RNA
Source: RNAcentral
UCACCUGUUUUAUCAAAAACAUGUCUUAUUGAAAAUAAUUUUAAGUCAAAUCUGCUCAAUGAAUUAUUAAAUAGCUGCAGUAUAAAUAACUGUACAAAGGUAGCAUAAUCAUUUGUUUUCUAAUUAAAAACUUGUAUGAAAGAUUUAAUGAAAUAUAAACUUUCUAAAAUUUAUUAAAUUAAAUUUUUAUUUAAAUAAAAAAAUUUAAAUAAAUUUUAAAGACGAGAAGACCCUAAGAAUUUUUAUUAAAUAAUUUUUAUAAAAAUUAUUUAAUUUUAAUUGGGGAUAUUUUAAAAUUUAAUUAAUUUUUAAUUAAAUUAAACAUAAAUUUUUGAAUAAAUAUAAUUUUUUUUAAAAAAUAAAUAAAAUUACCUUAGGGAUAACAGCAUAAUUUUUUUUUUAAGUUCAAAUUUAUAAAAAAGUUUAUGACCUCGAUGUUGAAUAAGA